GCAGUGUCGCUGGAUGAUGUGUUUGCUGCAGAUGCCAUUUGAAAAUAUAGGCAGUGUAAGCACUGUAGAAUCUAAUUAUUUCUUUGCAAAACCUAAUUAGGCAUUAAAAAAGGUUAACGCCAGCGCCUGAAACGUUUUUGUUUAAUAAUCCCAUUACUGCCGGCUCAUCAUGUAUAAAAUGGUGCAGGAGGACACAAAGUUUCCACUUGUUAAAGGGAAUCUCUGAGAAAUAGUCGCAGGUUUUUGACACUAUCUCCGAUUGGGGAAAUUAGGGGUUGUAAUUAAACAGCGGAGACUCAGCUCAGCGCAGCGCACAGACUAUAGCUUCCUGGAAGGCUGUGAUUGGCCGGCUGUCUGGGUGUGAUAGCAGCCCUGGAGCCGAGAAUGAUUGAUGACGGCGGGGGCAAGGCCGAGCGCUGGGAGCAUAAAGCUCCAUAGACGCCUCAAUAAAGAGCCUGGCCAGUGGAGAGCCUGGGCCCCUCCGCCUCUGAGGACCCACGGCUAGAGGAGUGCAUGAAGGGAGGCAGAGGAAGAGAGGGAAAAGGAAAGGUGCUCUGUUGUCGGAUAAUCUGUUUAGCUGUCGAGCAGCAGCCGUCUGAGGCUGGAUAAGUGCAGCGACGGAUGUGUGUGGGGUGAAAAUAGCAGGGGUUGGCUGGUGGAGAGCUGGAGGGGGAGAAAGAGGCAGAGACGGGGGUGGGGGCGAUGCAUAAUGGGAAAAAUAAGGGAAGAAGAUGAAGCAGAUUGGAAAUGGGAGAUGCAAGCUGGCUGUUUACGCAUGCUA
Molecule: long non-coding RNA, 781 nt
Organism: Cyprinodon tularosa
Lineage: Eukaryota; Metazoa; Chordata; Actinopteri; Cyprinodontiformes; Cyprinodontidae
Exons: 2
Source: RefSeq, a predicted model, not a curated record